UAAGCGGAGGAAAAGAAACUAACUAGGAUUCCCUCAGUAGCUGCGAGCGAACAGGGAAGAGCCCAGCACCGAAUCUCGCGGCCGAUACCGGGCGCCGGGAAAUGUGGUGUUAGGGAGGAUCCGUCUAUCCCGAGGUCGUGCGGUGCGUCCAAGUCCUUCUUGAACGGGGCCACAGCCCAUAGAGGGUGCCAGGCCCGUAGCGACCGCUGCCGAUCGCGGGAGGAUCCCUCCUCAGAGUCGGGUUGCUUGAGAGUGCAGCCCUAAGUGGGUGGUAAACUCCAUCUAAGGCUAAAUAUGACCACGAGACCGAUAGCGAACAAGUACCGUGAGGGAAAGUUGAAAAGCACUUUGAAGAGAGAGUUCAAGAGUACGUGAAACCGUUCAGGGGUAAACCUGAGAAACCCGAAAGGUCGAAAGGGGAAAUUCAUUCGCGUAUCGCGCGCCGUUCGCACCUUCCGUUCUUCGAACCGGCGUCGAACGCGUGCACUUUUCCCCUAGUAGGACGUCGCGAUCCGUUGGGUGUCGGUCCUCGUGGUGGAGCCCGUACGGUCGCUUCGUGCGGACCCACGGUGUUCCGGCCGACUCGCUCGACGGUAUACAAAUGGCGUGGGGCCGCUAGGUAGUUAGCGUUCGGCACGUGGCAAGCGCGUUCGCGACGGCGAUCGGACCUCGUGCCGGUCCUGUCCCCGAACGACUGUUGGCCACACUCGAACAGACCUCACAUAAACGCCGAUCUGCGACGCUAUAGCUUUGGGUACUUUCAGGACCCGUCUUGAA
This 777-nucleotide ribosomal RNA is filed under the name Mallodon sp. SNU118. Its description in RNAcentral is "partial large subunit ribosomal RNA". It matches the Rfam family "Eukaryotic large subunit ribosomal RNA", at positions 47 to 658 of the family's 3401-position model. The record is from RNAcentral. Lineage: Eukaryota; Metazoa; Arthropoda; Insecta; Coleoptera; Cerambycidae.